RNAcentral lists this long non-coding RNA (506 nucleotides) under Equus asinus (donkey). RNAcentral describes it as "lncRNA (ENSEASG00005024878.1)". The record is from RNAcentral. Lineage: Eukaryota; Metazoa; Chordata; Mammalia; Perissodactyla; Equidae.
CUGGCCUCCUGACUCCAUUUGAAAUGGAUUUCUGCUUGUUGAUUUUCACAGUGGCUUAAACAACAGAAUAUUUUUCUCACCAUUAUGGAGGCUGGGAAGUCCAAGAUCAAGGUGCCAGCAAGCCUAGAAGAUAAAUCUGUUGUAUGAAGCCCCAGACUGAAGGCAAAAAGAAACUACAGGAAGGAGGUCACAUAGUUUCAUAUGAUAAAGCCAAGAUAAGAGAGACAUCAAAUCACUCACGUCUCUUUGCCACUGAUGUUUGAACUUGCCAGUGUAGAAGGUGAUGUCAUGAUUCAAAGCAUCAGAAAUAGUCUUAAAAAAAAUUCUUCUUAACUCACAUUUUACAACUCUAAUAUUUCAAACGAAGAGUUGGAUGAAACUAAGAAAGAGAAUUCAGUAGUUUUUUGGCUGGAAAAGCUUGGCACUCUUCCAUGACUUGCCUGCUGCAAGAGCCAGAAUUUGAUUCAGGAGGAGCCGAAAGCUUCUCCAUGCUGCUCCGGUGGCCC